CACGGUAAACGAUGGAUGCCCGCUGUUGGCGAUAUACUGUCAGCGGCCAAGCGAAAGCGUUAAGCAUCCCACCUGGGGAGUACGCCGGCAACGGUGAAACUCAAAGGAAUUGACGGGGGCCCGCACAAGCGGAGGAACAUGUGGUUUAAUUCGAUGAUACGCGAGGAACCUUACCCGGGCUUGAACUGCAGGCGAACGAUUCAGAGAUGAUGAGGCCCUUCGGGGCGCCUGUGGAGGUGCUGCAUGGUUGUCGUCAGCUCGUGCCGUGAGGUGUCGGCUUAAGUGCCAUAACGAGCGCAACCCCUUUCUCCAGUUGCCAUCAGGUUAAGCUGGGCACUCUGGAGACACUGCCACCGUAAGGUGUGAGGAAGGUGGGGAUGACGUCAAAUCAGCACGGCCCUUACGUCCGGGGCUACACACGUGUUACAAUGGGUGGUACAGAGAGUCGGUCGCUGGCAAUAGCGAUCCAAUCCUAAAAGCCAUCCUCAGUUCGGAUUGGGGUCUGCAACCCGACC
RNAcentral lists this ribosomal RNA (515 nucleotides) under uncultured bacterium. RNAcentral describes it as "bacterial SSU rRNA". It matches the Rfam family "Bacterial small subunit ribosomal RNA", at positions 798 to 1317 of the family's 1533-position model. The record is from RNAcentral.